RNAcentral lists this ribosomal RNA (405 nucleotides) under uncultured bacterium. RNAcentral describes it as "partial 16S ribosomal RNA". It matches the Rfam family "Bacterial small subunit ribosomal RNA", at positions 29 to 525 of the family's 1533-position model. The record is from RNAcentral.
AUUGAACGCUGGCGGCAGGCCUAACACAUGCAAGUCGAACGAGUGGCGGACGGGUGAGUAAUGUCUGGGAAACUGCCCGGUGGAGGGGGAUAACUACUGGAAACGGUAGCUAAUACCGCAUACCAUCGGAUGUGCCCAGAUGGGAUUAGCUAGUAGGUGGGGUAACGGCUCACCUAGGCGACGAUCCCUAGCUGGUCCGAGGGGAUGACCGGCGACACGGGACCUGAGAGACGGUCCAGGUCCUUAGGGGAGGCAGCAGUGGGGAAUGUUGGCAAAUGGGGGCAAGCGUGCUGCAGCCAUGACGCGUGUAUGAAGAAGGCCUUCGGGUUGGAAAGUGCUUUCAGCGAGGAGGCGUUACUCGCAGAAGAAGCACCGGCUAAUUCCGUGCCAGCAGCCGCGGUAAUA